UCUUUAAAAAAAAAAAAAUAAAUAAAAUUGGAAUGAUACAGAGAAGAUUAGCAUGGCCCCUGCGCAAGGAUGACACACAAAUUCGUGGAGCGUUCCAUAUUUUU
Mustela lutreola (European mink) is the source of this 104-nucleotide small nuclear RNA. NCBI's taxonomy places the organism in Eukaryota, Metazoa, Chordata, Mammalia, Carnivora, Mustelidae. The record is from RefSeq and is a predicted model, not a curated record.